Non-coding RNA from Jatropha curcas, 152 nucleotides. The record is from Rfam. NCBI's taxonomy places the organism in Eukaryota, Viridiplantae, Streptophyta, Magnoliopsida, Malpighiales, Euphorbiaceae.
AUCUUUGCGGUUGGGGCAAUGACGCAGCUCGUGAGGUUCUAACCGAGGCGCGUCUAUUGCUGGUUGAAAACUAUUUCCAAAACCCCUCCUAGGUCUGGGUUCUAGUUAGGUCUUCGAGAAUUUCUGGAAGGGCUCCCGUUUUGGGUAAAGCC